GAGGGGGUCCUACUUUCAAUGCAUCUCAGUGCCUUUGCUUCCCAUCAUUUGAAACACUCCAGUUACAGAUGGGCCAGACCUGAUACUGUACUGGCCCAGGAAGCCAGCGUUCUAGUCUCAGCUCCUCCACUGACCUACUCCAUAAUCUUGUGCAACACACCUUGGUCCUAUCUUCCAAGACUUCUACCCUUCCUCCCCCCACCACCAUUUCUCUUGGAAUGAAGGCUGGAGCAUUGAUUCGAUUUACCAAAUCACAAGUGUCAAAGCAGCCAGCAGGGAACGUUCUGACUAUCAGAGGAUACAUCUCUGAAGAAGAUGCUAUAGACUGACUAGCUACCUCCCUCUGGUGAAUGAGGAGCUGUGAAGAACUGCAUCGUUUCCACAGAGAAAGCAGAAUCAACACUGGGCCACGAUGAUCCAGAGUAGAUUUAGCAGGGUGAAGAAUGGGGAAUGGAGCUUUUUUACAUCCGCCUCUUGCAGUGGAUAGUUUCCUCGCUUGAUAGGUGUGUGAGGCCUGUGCUGGAGCAAACAAGAGCACAGUUUAUAUGAACAUUUAAUUAAUUCCUUGUUGCAGUGGGUUUGAAAUUAAUCCAGUUGUCCCAGUUUAACAAUGGCAACUUCAAUUUCAUCUUCAUCCUGCAAGACUAGCAUUGUGACCAGCAUAAUUGAUGUCUACCCCUGUGGGAAUAGUGAGUGUGAGCGGCGAACCAGCAGAGGGAGCACUGCUGCUGUGUUUCUGAGCAGCCUUUAGACUCCUGGGUAUUGCUGUCCCAGCAGUGUGUCAGGUUUUCAAAUACUAGUAUGCAGAGGAUUGGAUUCAGGUCUGUGCUUUGCUAGCACAGCUGGGAAAGAGGAGCACACAUCAUUCUAAGGACCCUUUUCCCUAUGAAGUGGCCAGUUUCUGUGGACUUUUGCAAGAGCAGUGUCCAGCCUUCAGUCUGUGGUUGUGGAGAUGAGAGCAGCUCAAAGCUUUAGGAAGAGUGCCUCAGAGGCUUACACACAUCUGGGAAAAAGUAGUGCAUCUGAGUUUUUAAUUCUUUCCAGGCCUGGGAUUGUCAAGGGAGCCUAAGUGAAUUAGGUGUCCAGUGCCCAUUGAAAUCUCAGUUUGAUAUGGGUACUUAACUCCCUUAUGCACUUUGGAAAAUCCCAGCCUAGGUAUUUAGAGACUAUACAGAUAACAACAACAAUCGACUUUUGCAGGUGCAUUUUGCACCUGCAAAUAACUAUGCCCACAAUUUUACACCCACAGAUGCUCCCAUUUAGAAAUAGACCUACUUCAUUCACAAAUCAGGGAUUGCGAUGUUGAAAUAGGAGCAUUUGGCUCCACAUUUAAUUGCAUGUGCCAGAUUAUUAUUCUUGUCAUGGUUAUUUUUAGUAGAAGUCAUGGACAGGUUACAGGCAAUAAACAAAAAUUCACAAAAGCCGUGACCUGUCUGCGACUUUUGCUGCUGCGGCUCCUUGGUUUCCCCCACCACGGUGGUGGCUGGGAACUGUGGGGUUCCCACUCCUCCCAUGGUGGCUGGGAGCUGCAGGUUGACCAUAUUUCCCAAAGAGAAAACGGGACCCUCCUAGCCACUUGCCUGAGGCAUCCCCCUUCCCCUCCUGAGUCUGUCACCUGUCACCGGAACCCUGAGGAGGCCUCCUGUCGCUGCUGUCGCCUGUUGCUGGAACCCUGCCGGGGCCCCACUGGCUGUGAGCUCCAGAGUCCUGCAGCCCCUGGGACUGAAGCAGAGAAUGGCAGGGAGGUCUCUGGACUUCCAUAAACGUAGCCUUAAUUAUCAUAAGUUCAAAAAGAGAAGCCAUUGAUUAAAAAGCUUGGGUAACAUUUUCCAAAGUGUUGAAGGCCGUGUCUACACUAUAGGUGCUACAUUGGCAUGGCUGCUGCACUGUAGCAAUGCUGCUGUAGUGCAGAAGCUUCCUACAGUGAUUGAAGGGGGUUUUCCACCACUGUAAGAAUUCCAUCUCCCCAAGUGACGGUGUUGAAUUUGAUGGAAGCAUUCCUCUGUCAACCUGGCUGCAUCUACACUGGGGGUUAGGUCAGCAUAGCUAUGGUGCUCAGGGAUGUGAAUUUUUCACACCUUUGAGCAUUGUAGCUAUGUCAACCUGACUUUUAAGUGUAGACCAGGCCUAAAUGACUUAGGAGCCCAAAUCCUAUUGAAAGUCAAUGAGACUCAAGUUCUUGAGUGCUGAGCCCUUUUGCAAACACAUCUUAGGAGCCUAAGUCACUUAUAUGCUUCUGAACAUUGUACCUCUGGUCCUUAGAGUCCAGAAGAUUGUACUCAGCCUUCAAGAACUUUAUAAUAGGUUAUACUGCGGGCCUUAAAAUAUUAUGGUAACCUUUUAAAUUUGUUUGCUGCUGUUGGAGAGGCAAAUAAAGGGUCCUUUCACCAGAGGAGUUCAAAGUACAGUACAGAUAUUUAUUAAUUAAGCCUCACAACAUCUUUUCAAUUUGGAAAUUUGAUGAAGCAAUAUUUUCUUAUUGUAAUUCUUUAGAUUUUCUACCUGUGUUUAUAUAUUGAUAGAUUCCUAGAGCACUAUAGGUACUAGAGAAACCAAAAUAAAUACAAUCUUUCACAUGGGGAAACAAAGGCACAGAGGUUGAAACUUGAACAAGUUUGCAUAGUGAGGGCUGGUCUGCACUAGAAAAUUAGAUUGACCUAGCUACAUCAUUCAGGGGUGUGAAAAAUCCACACCCCCCCCCCCAGAGCCAAGUAGUUAAACUGACCUAAGUCCCGUGUAGACACUGCUAGGCUGCCGGAAGAAUUGUUCUAUUGACCUAGCUAGGGCUGCUUGGGGAGGUGGAUUACCUACUCUGAUGGGAGAACCCCUCCCUUCGGUGUAGGUAGUGUCCACAGCGAAGCACUGCAGAGGUGAUGCUGCAGUGCUUCAAGUGCAGGCAAGCCCUACAUUUGUGACAUUGCUGGGAUUAAAACUCUUGACUCUCAGCCCCAGGCUCUAAUCACCCGACAGUCAUGUCUGUACUGUUGGCCCAUUCAGACCAAUAUAUUUCAUUACCUCUCUAAGGAUCAUAGCAAGAACAUCAAAUUCAGCCUUCUCAGAAACUGGCUGAUUGACCCAUAGUAUCAUAGAAAUAGAGCCAGAAUUUCAAAAGAGUUUCAGCACCCAACAGCCCCCAUUUGAGCAUUGAAUAAGUGCUGGAUUUUUAGAAGACCUGAGCUCCCACUUAGGCACCUAAACAAUAGAUUUUCAAAUGGGCUCAUCACACAGCUUCUCCCAUGAAGUGUACGGGGAGGUGCUGAGGAAUCUUGGCCCAUAAUGGUUUACAGUCAUUGUCAGUCACCUACAGGGGGGGAUUUUUGGUUUUGUUUUUUUUAGAACCCCAACCAAAUGUAUCCUGCAGUUAGUUCUUUCUGUAUUCAGAUGACUUCAGCCAUCAUCAGGCAUAUCCCAUAUACUGGCAGGCUCCCUCACAAAUCCAUUAUAGACCAGCCCUUUGGGUAUUUUUGAGCAUACAGCAUGCUAACCACCGCUAGCUGUUACAAAACUGUUUGUUUGAGAGAAAAAGAUCAAUAAUCUAUGUUUUCCUUAUCUUACUGUUAGAAAGCAGAUUCUAUAAUAUUGCUUCAUACCAGCAAACCCGGUGCCUGCUGCUGCACAAUGUAGCUAUGCAGUCAGAAGAUCAGAAUUAAUCUGCACUUCGAGUUGGCAAGCUUGUGUGAUUUUACUGAUGCUAGGAGAUCAGUGGCCAAAGAGAUGCUGCAGAACUCAGGCUGCUCAGACAGCAGUGACAACUAGUUGACUAAAAGGAAAACCUAAUGGGAUGUUGUAUGUCAUUAUUUAUUAGACUAAUGAGAGACUUUGAUGGGUGACCACGGUUUGGCUAACAAUCUCUUCCUCGUGGAUAUAACAGCAGCUGUUAAAUGCAACGCCUCAGAAGAAAAACAAUUGAAGACUUUUAGUAUCAAUAUAUAUAAUAUUUUUAUAAGAACUGAUCACGGAAGCCAAGGACCUGAGCCCGCUCUCACUGAAAGAGGGAUGGGGCCAUAAGUAAUAGCAAAUAUCAUUUUCAUCCCUAAAUAGACUUAUUAAGAUGUGUCUAAGGUUACCAUAACCCAGCCUCACCCCACAGUGUAAGUUUAGCAGGGUAUUACUAUCCCAGUGUGGAGAUUUAAUGAAGCAAACUUUGUUAUAAAUGAUUUGGAAUUUGAUGAUUCUUCUAAUCCUGUAUAAAAUAUGUCUGGCCACCACACUGUCACAUUCCCAUGGCACCAAAAUGGGGGGUUAAGAAAAAAAACCCUGACUAUAUCACACAGAGCUACAUAUGGUCACAGUCUCACAUCAACAUGCACCUGGAGCCAGGAAGGAGUGUGUAGAGUGGAGAGAGCACAGGACUAGGAGUCAGGACACAUGGGCUCAGUUCUUGGUUCUUCCGCUGACCUUACACAAAUCACUUAGCUCACAAUUUUCAAACAAGGCUGCCUCAAAUUAGGCAUCAAGGACAUGAUUUUCAGAUACACUGAGCACCCCAGCUCACUUUGAAUACCUCUUACUUUUGAGCAUCAAUAUGGACUUAAGUACCCAGCUUUAGAAACCAUAAGUUUGCAAGUGGUGGCUUUAACUCUGUGCCUCAGUUUACCCAUCUUUAAGAUGAACAUAAAGCCACACACCCUUACAGCAAGGUGUUGUGAAGCUGAAUUCCUUAACAUUUGCAAACUAUUGUGAGCUUUUUGGUUGAAUGGAGCUAUUCUGUGCAAAGUAUCAUGCAUUUUAUUCCUAAAAUAUAGCCUUUUCAAGCUAUGCCUACACUAAGUCUGUUCAUUUGGUUAAAAGACGGCUAUAAAAUUGUAAUAGAGAAAAAUGUAAAGCACUAAUCUGUCACAUUGCUAUAGCACCAUUAUUCCCAAAGGGUCCCCAGUGCUUUACAAACUCAUCUACAAAAUAUUUGCAAGGAUCACU
Long non-coding RNA from Mauremys reevesii (Reeves's turtle), 4917 nucleotides. RefSeq lists it as uncharacterized. The transcript has 3 exons. Lineage: Eukaryota; Metazoa; Chordata; Testudines; Geoemydidae. The record is from RefSeq and is a predicted model, not a curated record.